AUUGAACGCUGGCGGCAGGCCUAACACAUGCAAGUCGAACGAGUGGCGGAGGGGUGAGUAAUGUCUGGGACACUGCCUGAUGGAGGGGGAUAACUACUGGAAACGGUAGCUAAUACCGCAUACCAUAAGGUGUGCCCCGAUGGGAUGAGCUUGUUGGUGGGGUAACGGCUCACCAAGGCGACGAUCCGUAGCUGGUCUGAGAGGGUGACCCGCCACACUGGAACGUAGACACGGUCCAGACCCCUACGUGAGGCAGCAGUGGGGAAUAUUGCACAAUGGGCGCAAGCCUGAUGCAGCCAUGCCGCGUGUAUGAAGAAGGCCUUCGGGUUGUAAAGUACUGUCGGCGGGGAGGCGUUAUCCGCAGAAGAAGCACCGGCUAACUCCGUGCCAGCAGCCGCGGUAAUUC
Molecule: ribosomal RNA, 406 nt
Filed under: uncultured bacterium
Lineage: Bacteria
Description: partial 16S ribosomal RNA
Rfam family: Bacterial small subunit ribosomal RNA
Source: RNAcentral